CCUACGGGAGGCAGCAGUGAGGAAUAUUGGUCAAUGGACGAGAGUCUGAACCAGCCAAGUAGCGUGAAGGAUGACUGCCCUAUGGGUUGUAAACUUCUUUUAUAUGGGAAUAAAAUGUUCCACGUGUGGGUUUUUGUAUGUAACAUAUGAAUAAGGAUCGGCUAACGCCGUGCCAGCAGCCGCGGUAAUACGGAGGAUACGAGCGUUAUCCGGAUUUAUUGGGUUUAAAGGGAGCGUAGGUGGAUUGUUAAGUCAGUUGUGAAAGUUUGCGGCUCAACCGUAAAAUUGCAGUUGAAACUGGCAGUCUUGAGUACAGUAGAGGUGGGCGGAAUUCGUGGUGUAGCGGUGAAAUGCUUAGAUAUCACGAAGAACUCCGAUUGCGAAGGCAGCUCACUGGACUGCAACUGACACUGAGGCUCGAAAGUGUGGGUAUCAAACAGGAUUAGAUACCCCUGUAGUC
Molecule: ribosomal RNA, 460 nt
Filed under: uncultured bacterium
Lineage: Bacteria
Description: partial 16S ribosomal RNA
Rfam family: Bacterial small subunit ribosomal RNA
Source: RNAcentral